AUCCAGUUGACGAGUCUCAAAUAAGACAAAACGCGAGUCCUGGAU
RNAcentral lists this non-coding RNA (45 nucleotides) under Schistosoma curassoni. Lineage: Eukaryota; Metazoa; Platyhelminthes; Trematoda; Strigeidida; Schistosomatidae. The record is from RNAcentral.